This 560-nucleotide ribosomal RNA is filed under the name uncultured bacterium. RNAcentral describes it as "partial 16S ribosomal RNA". It matches the Rfam family "Bacterial small subunit ribosomal RNA", at positions 355 to 1375 of the family's 1533-position model. The record is from RNAcentral.
UGGGGAAUAUUGGACAAUGGGCGCAAGCCUGAUCCAGCCAUGCCGCGUGAGUGAUGAAGGCCUUAGGGUUGUAAAGCUCUUUCGCCGGUGAAGAUAAUGACGGUAACCGGAGAAGAAGCCCCGGCUAACUUCGUGCCAGCAGCCGCGGUAAUACGAAGGGGGCUAGCGUUGCUCGGAAUCACUGGGCGUAAAGCGCACGUAGGCGGAUCGUUAAGUCAGGGGUGAAAUCCUGGAGCUCAACUCCAGAACUGCCCUUGAUACUGGCGAUCUCGAGUUCGAGAGAGGUUGGUGGAACUCCGAGUGUAGAGGUGAAAUUCGUAGAUAUUCGGAAGAACACCAGUGGCGAAGGCGGCCAACUGGCUCGAUACUGACGCUGAGGCGCGAAAGCGUGGGGAGCAAACAGGAUUAGAUACCCUGGUAGUCCACGCCGUAAACGAUGGAUGCUAGCCGUUGGGGGGUUUACCUCUCAGUGGCGCAGCUAACGCCUUAAGCAUCCCGCCUGGGGAGUACGGUCGCAAGAUUAAAACUCAAAUGAAUUGACGGGGUCAUAGCUGUUUCCU